GGGUUGUGAGGUUAAGCGACUAAGCGUACACGGUGGAUGCCCUGGCAGUCAGAGGCGAUGAAGGACGUGCUAAUCUGCGAUAAGCGUCGGUAAGGUGAUAUGAACCGUUAUAACCGGCGAUUUCCGAAUGGGGAAACCCAGUGUGAUUCGUCACACUAUCAUUACGUGAAUACAUAGCGUAAUGAAGCGAACCGGGGGAACUGAAACAUCUAAGUACCCCGAGGAAAAGAAAUCAACCGAGAUUCCCCCAGUAGCGGCGAGCGAACGGGGAGCAGCCCAGAGUCUGAAUCAGCUUGUGUGUUAGUGGAACGGUCUGGAAAGUCCGACGGUACAGGGUGAUAGUCCCGUACACCAAAAUGCACAGGUUGUGAACUCGAAGAGUAGGGCGGGACACGUGGUAUCCUGUCUGAAUAUGGGGGGACCAUCCUCCAAGGCUAAAUACUCCUGACUGACCGAUAGUGAACCAGUACCGUGAGGGAAAGGCGAAAAGAACCCCGGCGAGGGGAGUGAAAAAGAACCUGAAACCGUGUACGUACAAGCAGUGGGAGCCUCUUUAUGGGGUGACUGCGUACCUUUUGUAUAAUGGGUCAGCGACUUAUAUUCUGUAGCAAGGUUAACCGUAUAGGGGAGCCGAAGGGAAACCGAGUCUUAACUGGGCGUUAAGUUGCAGGGUAUAGACCCGAAACCCGGUGAUCUAGCCAUGGGCAGGUUGAAGGUUGGGUAACACUAACUGGAGGACCGAACCGACUAAUGUUGAAAAAUUAGCGGAUGACUUGUGGCUGGGGGUGAAAGGCCAAUCAAACCGGGAGAUAGCUGGUUCUCCCCGAAAGCUAUUUAGGUAGCGCCUCGUGAACUCAUCUUCGGGGGUAGAGCACUGUUUCGGCUAGGGGGUCAUCCCGACUUACCAACCCGAUGCAAACUGCGAAUACCGAAGAAUGUUAUCACGGGAGACACACGGCGGGUGCUAACGUCCGUCGUGAAGAGGGAAACAACCCAGACCGCCAGCUAAGGUCCCAAAGUCAUGGUUAAGUGGGAAACGAUGUGGGAAGGCACAGACAGCCAGGAUGUUGGCUUAGAAGCAGCCAUCAUUUAAAGAAAGCGUAAUAGCUCACUGGUCGAGUCGGCCUGCGCGGAAGAUGUAACGGGGCUAAACCAUGCACCGAAGCUGCGGCAGCGACACUAUGUGUUGUUGGGUAGGGGAGCGUUCUGUAAGCCGUUGAAGGUGGCCUGUGAGGGUUGCUGGAGGUAUCAGAAGUGCGAAUGCUGACAUAAGUAACGAUAAUGCGGGUGAAAAACCCGCACGCCGGAAGACCAAGGGUUCCUGUCCAACGUUAAUCGGGGCAGGGUGAGUCGACCCCUAAGGCGAGGCCGAAAGGCGUAGUCGAUGGGAAACAGGUUAAUAUUCCUGUACUUGGUGUUACUGCGAAGGGGGGACGGAGAAGGCUAUGUUAGCCGGGCGACGGUUGUCCCGGUUUAAGCAUGUAGGCGGAGGUUCCAGGUAAAUCCGGUACCUUUUAACGCUGAGGUGUGAUGACGAGGCACUACGGUGCUGAAGUAACAAAUGCCCUGCUUCCAGGAAAAGCCUCUAAGCAUCAGGUAACACGAAAUCGUACCCCAAACCGACACAGGUGGUCAGGUAGAGAAUACCAAGGCGCUUGAGAGAACUCGGGUGAAGGAACUAGGCAAAAUGGUGCCGUAACUUCGGGAGAAGGCACGCUGAUAUGUAGGUGAAGUGAUUUACUCAUGGAGCUGAAAUCAGUCGAAGAUACCAGCUGGCUGCAACUGUUUAUUAAAAACACAGCACUGUGCAAACACGAAAGUGGACGUAUACGGUGUGACGCCUGCCCGGUGCCGGAAGGUUAAUUGAUGGGGUUAUCCGUAAGGAGAAGCUCUUGAUCGAAGCCCCGGUAAACGGCGGCCGUAACUAUAACGGUCCUAAGGUAGCGAAAUUCCUUGUCGGGUAAGUUCCGACCUGCACGAAUGGCGUAAUGAUGGCCAGGCUGUCUCCACCCGAGACUCAGUGAAAUUGAACUCGCUGUGAAGAUGCAGUGUACCCGCGGCAAGACGGAAAGACCCCGUGAACCUUUACUAUAGCUUGACACUGAACACUGGUCCUUGAUGUGUAGGAUAGGUGGGAGGCUUUGAAGUGUGGACGCCAGUCUGCAUGGAGCCAUCCUUGAAAUACCACCCUUUAAUGGCUGGUGUUCUAACGUGGACCCGUGAUCCGGGUUGCGGACAGUGUCUGGUGGGUAGUUUGACUGGGGCGGUCUCCUCCUAAAGAGUAACGGAGGAGCACGAAGGUUAGCUAAUCCUGGUCGGACAUCAGGAGGUUAGUGCAAAGGCAUAAGCUAGCUUGACUGCGAGAGUGACGGCUCGAGCAGGUGCGAAAGCAGGUCUUAGUGAUCCGGUGGUUCUGAAUGGAAGGGCCAUCGCUCAACGGAUAAAAGGUACUCCGGGGAUAACAGGCUGAUACCGCCCAAGAGUUCAUAUCGACGGCGGUGUUUGGCACCUCGAUGUCGGCUCAUCACAUCCUGGGGCUGAAGUAGGUCCCAAGGGUAUGGCUGUUCGCCAUUUAAAGUGGUACGCGAGCUGGGUUUAGAACGUCGUGAGACAGUUCGGUCCCUAUCUGCCGUGGGCGCUGGAGAAUUGAGGGGGGCUGCUCCUAGUACGAGAGGACCGGAGUGGACGCAUCACUGGUGUUCGGGUUGUCAUGCCAAUGGCAUUGCCCGGUAGCUAAAUGCGGAAGAGAUAAGUGCUGAAAGCAUCUAAGCACGAAACUUGCCCCGAGAUGAGUUCUCCCUGAGACUAUAAGUCUCCUGAAGGAACGUUGAAGACGACGACGUUGAUAGGUCGGGUGUGUAAGUGUAGCGAUACAUUGAGCUAACCGAUACUAAUGAACCGUGAGGCUUAACCUUACAACGCCGAAG
This 2927-nucleotide ribosomal RNA is filed under the name Citrobacter freundii. RNAcentral describes it as "23S ribosomal RNA". It matches the Rfam family "Bacterial large subunit ribosomal RNA". The record is from RNAcentral. Lineage: Bacteria; Pseudomonadati; Pseudomonadota; Gammaproteobacteria; Enterobacterales; Enterobacteriaceae.